This 253-nucleotide ribosomal RNA is filed under the name uncultured bacterium. RNAcentral describes it as "partial 16S ribosomal RNA". It matches the Rfam family "Bacterial small subunit ribosomal RNA", at positions 524 to 776 of the family's 1533-position model. The record is from RNAcentral.
UACAGAGGGUGCAAGCGUUGUUCGGAAUUAUUGGGCGUAAAGCGCGUGUAGGCGGCUUUGCAAGUCGGGUGUGAAAGCCCUCAGCUUAACUGAGGAAGUGCGCCCGAAACUGCUUGGCUUGAGUACCGGAGAGGAUGGCGGAACUCCCCAAGUAGAGGUGAAAUUCGUAGAUAUGGGGAGGAACACCGGUGGCGAAGGCGGCCAUCUGGACGGAUACUGACGCUGAGACGCGAAAGCGUGGGUAGCAAACAGG